This 700-nucleotide ribosomal RNA is filed under the name uncultured bacterium. RNAcentral describes it as "bacterial SSU rRNA". It matches the Rfam family "Bacterial small subunit ribosomal RNA", at positions 57 to 748 of the family's 1533-position model. The record is from RNAcentral.
GCAGUCGACGGUAACGGAAGCAGCUCGCUGCUUCGCUGACGAGUGGCGGACGGGUGAGUAAUGUCUGGGAAACUGCCUGAUGGAGGGGGAUAACUACUGGGAACGGUAGCUAAUACCGCAUAACGUCGCAAGACCAAAGAGGGGGACCUUCGGGCCUCUUGCCAUCGGAUGUGCCCAGAUGGGAUUAGCUAGUAGGUGGGGUAACGGCUCACCUAGGCGACGAUCCCUAGCUGGUCUGAGAGGAUGACCAGCCACAUUGGAACUGAGACACGGUCCAGACUCCUACGGGAGGCAGCAGUGGGGAAUAUUGCACAAUGGGCGCAAGCCUGAUGCAGCCAUGCCGCGUGUAUGAAGAAGGCCUUCGGGUUGUAAAGACNUUUUCAGCGGGGAGGAAGGGAGUAAAGUUAAUACCUUUGCUCAUUGACGUUACCCGCAGAAGAAGCACCGGCUAACUCCGUGCCAGCAGCCGCGGUAAUACGGAGGGUGCAAGCGUUAAUCGGAAUUACUGGGCGUAAAGCGCACGCAGGCGGUUUGUUAAGUCAGAUGUGAAAUCCCCGGGCUCAACCUGGGAACUGCAUCUGAUACUGGCAAGCUUGAGUCUCGUAGAGGGGGGUAGAAUUCCAGGUGUAGCGGUGAAAUGCGUAGAGAUCUGGAGGAAUACCGGUGGCGAAGGCGGCCCCCUGGACGAAGACUGACGCUC